AUUGAACGCUGGCGGCAUGCCUUACACAUGCAAGUCGAACGGCAGCGGACCUUCGGGUGCCGGCGAGUGGCGAACGGGUGAGUAAUAUAUCGGAACGUACCUUUCAGUGGGGGAUAACGUAGCGAAAGUUACGCUAAUACCGCAUAUUCUGUGAGCAGGAAAGCAGGGGAUCGCAAGACCUUGCGCUGAUUGAGCGGCCGAUAUCAGAUUAGCUAGUUGGUGAGGUAAAGGCUCACCAAGGCGACGAUCUGUAGCGGGUCUGAGAGGAUGAUCCGCCACACUGGAACUGAGACACGGUCCAGACUCCUACGGGAGGCAGCAGUGGGGAAUUUUGGACAAUGGGCGCAAGCCUGAUCCAGCCAUGCCGCGUGAGUGAAGAAGGCCUCGGUUGUAAGACGUCUUUC
This 404-nucleotide ribosomal RNA is filed under the name uncultured bacterium. RNAcentral describes it as "bacterial SSU rRNA". It matches the Rfam family "Bacterial small subunit ribosomal RNA", at positions 30 to 437 of the family's 1533-position model. The record is from RNAcentral.